GGGGGCGUAGCUCAACUGGUAGAGCAUAUCCCUUGCACGGAUAAGGUAGCAGGUUCGAUCCCUGUCGCCUCCACCA
RNAcentral lists this transfer RNA (76 nucleotides) under Methanobacteriota archaeon. RNAcentral's name for it is "Euryarchaeota archaeon tRNA-Ala". It matches the Rfam family "tRNA". Rfam says of the family: Transfer RNA (tRNA) molecules are approximately 80 nucleotides in length. The record is from RNAcentral. Lineage: Archaea; Methanobacteriati; Methanobacteriota.